This 494-nucleotide ribosomal RNA is filed under the name uncultured bacterium. RNAcentral's name for it is "bacterial SSU rRNA". It matches the Rfam family "Bacterial small subunit ribosomal RNA", at positions 29 to 518 of the family's 1533-position model. The record is from RNAcentral.
AUGAACGCUAGCGACAGGCCUAACACAUGCAAGUCGAGGGGCAGCACAAGGAGCAAUCUGAGGUGGCGACCGGCGCACGGGUGAGUAACACGUAUGCAACCUGCCUGUAAGCGGGGAAUAACCCGUUGAAAGACGGACUAAUACCGCAUAAUACUAAAUUACUGCAUGGUAAUUUAUUUAAACAUUUAUGGCUUACAGAUGGGCAUGCGCAUGAUUAGCUAGUUGGAGAGGUAACGGCUCCCCAAGGCAACGAUCAUUAGGGGUUCUGAGAGGAAGGUCCCCCACACUGGUACUGAGACACGGACCAGACUCCUACGGGAGGCAGCAGUGAGGAAUAUUGGUCAAUGGACGAGAGUCUGAACCAGCCAAGUCGCGUGCAGGAAGAAUGUCCCUAUGGAUUGUAAACUGCUUUUGCAGGGAAUAAAGUGCAUCACGUGUGAUGUUUUGUAUGUACUCUGCGAAUAAGGAUCGGCUAACUCCGUGCCAGCCGCAGC